CACAAAUUCAUGAAUGUUUCCUUCGCAUGAAAAUAUAAUUGCUCAAUUCUCAAUGUGGUAUUUGCAAACAGCAAUUGCUCAGCCCAGACACAUAUUCACACAGACCCUUGGGCCCCGGGAAUUACACGAUAACUUGAUAAUCAUAUCACAUUUGUAUGAUUUGUAUUAAUGUCGUUUAUGACUUUAUUGAACAUAUGCACAUUACAUUAAUUACAAUAACCUUGGAAAAAUCCAAGUACUGCAAAUAAACUGCUUCAGUAUAAAAACGCCAGAAAUUAAGAAGGCGAAGAGGCAGCUGAAGUAAAAAGUUAAUAACGAUCGUGCAAGAUAUUAAGAGCUUUUAAAAUUGCUCCUCGAUAACUCCUGUAUAAGAUAUACUGUCCUUGAGGGUUGCAGUGAACCCCAUCAAGAGACAACAAAUCAAUUCUACCAUUGUCAAAUUUACGAUGGUCCCAAAGAAAUACGCCAGGUUCAUUCGCCAAAACGACAGACAAAUACUGCCGCAGAAUAGAAGCUUUUGCAUUAAAAGCAUGGUCCGGUGCGUCGGAAUGCGGAAUGUGCCUAUUUAUAACUUGGCACACAGCAAUGACCUUUAUGUUUAACUCGUCAAGCAUAUAGCGUACGAGAUCGUCUAUCCGCGAACCGACCACCUCCGGAGAAAGGUUUGCCAAAUCGUUCGUCCCUAUUUCCAAAAUGACGAUAUCCGGUUUGCAGCUUUUGAGAAAGGAAAUAUCAUACUUAAACACUUUGUCUACAGUUCGACCGCCCGUGCCCUUCAAAGAUACGUACACGCCUGAAUUGGCCAGGUUAAAAUUUUGUUUGGCACGGGAAUCAAAACCAUUAUUUAAAUCGUCGUUUAAGCGGCGCACAAAAGAAUGGCCAAAUACCAAACAUUAGGAAUGAAACCCGACAUAUUUCUUGAGGAUAAAUAAGAUAAAAGGAAACACACAAUACCUGAAAGAACUUUGGAAGAAAGUAUGCAAGUGUUGCUCCUGACUGACUUCGGUAGAAUAACCUAACCUUGACACUCGCGCCUUUUAUACGCAGCAUCAGAGUAAAAUUCCCAAAUGUAGCAACUUCUCCCCGUGAUAUUUGGUUGUAUGCGUUACGUCAUCAUUUCAUUAGCUACAGUAAAUCUAACUAUAUAUAUAUAUUAGGGAAAGCAAUAAAAUUACUAUUCGAUGAACAAAUAGUUCCUAUAU
Paramuricea clavata is the source of this 1202-nucleotide non-coding RNA. The record is from the annotation of a GenBank genome assembly. Lineage: Eukaryota; Metazoa; Cnidaria; Anthozoa; Malacalcyonacea; Plexauridae.